Gallus gallus (chicken) is the source of this 511-nucleotide long non-coding RNA. NCBI's taxonomy places the organism in Eukaryota, Metazoa, Chordata, Aves, Galliformes, Phasianidae. The record is from Ensembl.
GGCCAAAUCCCCACCGCAGUGCAGUGAACCCUCCUCCCCCGGCUCCCAGCACCACCGCAACAACCAUCGUGCUGAAGCAGCUGCCUUUCCCCAUCAGCGAGGUCUUGCCACAAUAUGGAAGGUCCACAGCUCUUCACUUUACGGGGAUUUUAGGCUCAUCUUUACCCCGAAAGCCAGGUGACACCGCACAGUGCUGUGCCGACGUGCUUGGUUGGGUUCACCCAUGUGGCACCGCUGAGAGCUCCCAGAUGGAUACCGCAGCCUUCCCUCGAGGUAGCUGCGUUUCAGCAGCAGAUCACGCUGAAGUAGCUACAGUGGGAACGUGUGAUGAGGAUGUCGCAAGAGGACACGGAGCCCUGAACCCACAACCGGGGGGAGGAAGCCGCCCCGAGCAGAGGCACGGCCACGAGGGACGGUACCGCGGUGGCAUCGGAACGGCGGCUCCGAGCAGGCAAGAGAUGCCAGCCGGUUGCAAACCGCAGCCAAGCAGCUCGGGGUCGAUGCGGGGAAG